AUUGAACGCUGGCGGCAUGCUUUACACAUGCAAGUCGAACGGCAGCACGGGGGCAACCCUGGUGGCGAGUGGCGAACGGGUGAGUAAUAUAUCGGAACGUACCCGGAAAUGGGGGAUAACGUAGCGAAAGUUACGCUAAUACCGCAUAUGCCCUAGGGGGGAAAGCGGGGGAUUCGCAAGAACCUCGCGUUUUCGGAGCGGCCGAUAUCGGAUUAGCUAGUAGGUGAGGUAAAGGCUCACCUAGGCGACGAUCCGUAGCUGGUCUGAGAGGACGACCAGCCACACUGGAACUGAGACACGGUCCAGACUCCUACGGGAGGCAGCAGUGGGGAAUUUUGGACAAUGGGCGCAAGCCUGAUCCAGCCAUGCCGCGUGAGUGAAGAAGGCC
This 388-nucleotide ribosomal RNA is filed under the name uncultured bacterium. RNAcentral's name for it is "bacterial SSU rRNA". It matches the Rfam family "Bacterial small subunit ribosomal RNA", at positions 29 to 416 of the family's 1533-position model. The record is from RNAcentral.